RNAcentral lists this unclassified non-coding RNA (200 nucleotides) under Ascomycota sp. RNAcentral's name for it is "partial internal transcribed spacer 2". Lineage: Eukaryota; Fungi; Ascomycota. The record is from RNAcentral.
UUAAGUUCAGCGGGUAUCCCUACCUGAUCCGAGGUCAACCUGGUGCCGCCGCGAGGACGGGCUUUAUGUUUCCGGCGGGCGCCGCCGACCACCAAUGCGAGGCUAAUGCUACUACGCAGAGGAUGGGCCAACGGGUCCGCCACUGGUUUUAGGGGGCUACGGCAGCCGUAGGUCCCCAACGCCGAGCCCGAAGACGGCUC